Long non-coding RNA from Amblyraja radiata (thorny skate), 371 nucleotides. RefSeq lists it as uncharacterized. The transcript has 2 exons. The record is from RefSeq and is a predicted model, not a curated record. Lineage: Eukaryota; Metazoa; Chordata; Chondrichthyes; Rajiformes; Rajidae.
GGUACAAUGUGUGUUUGUUUUUCUUGACUAAGUCAAUCCAGCUCACAUCGUCCAGUAUUGCUGCAACAUUUGGUUUCACAGCAGAUGUGGCAGGUCACACAACUCAGACUUUGAGGCUCCUCUAAUAUUGGUUUAAAGGAAUUCAAACUUUUCUAUGCUGGUCUGCUACAAUUAGACUGGAAGGUGUGGUGAGGCUGCACGUGUGCUACAGUCUGUGCAGCAAAGGUUCUUCCACAGUGCUAUUGGAUAGAAAGCACCAGGAUAUUGACUCAGCAACAAAGAAGGAAAAGCAAUAUAUUUCAAUUUAAGCCUUGCCUGUUAAUGAUAUUGUUUGUAACACAGACAUUAAAUCCUUGCCGGACUGGAACUGA